CUUUCUCUGAGAGUUUUAUAACAUCUGUUGCACUUUUAGACGUUGUUUCUUCAUUCAAUUUUUGUUAUUUUUCAUUUUUUGCCUGUAUCUAUCAUAAAAGGCUAGAAACUAUUUUUUUUUUAAAAAUAAUGAAAGGUUUCCUUAAUCGAUUGAGCUAGCUAAACGGGCAAAUUGAUUAUCUAUACCACAUUUAAUAAACAAGGCAUAGAAUUUUUACAUAAUAAUAAAUUGAUCUAUAAAUUGCUAUUUGUUGCAAGCUUUGGAGAAAAAUAUGGCUGAAAUUAUUAAUUUUGUUUAUUUAAUGAUCUUCUUUAUUUCUUUGUUUCUUGUUGUAAAUGAUAAUAAUGAGUGGAAAAACUGCAAAGAGGAUGCUAAUUGUCAAUACUAUUAUUGUCUACCUCCGUAUGUUCCAAAAUGCAUUUGUCGUACAUGUAAAUGUGGUCCUCCGAGAUCCUCCUUUAUUAGAAGACAACUUAGGUAUAGGGUUUAGGAUAUGCAUACUUCAAAAUUAUAGAAAAUUAUAUACAAUGGUUGGCUUUAUGUUUAUUUUUAUUUGCCAAAGUGGUUGGCUUUAUGUUUAGUUUAGUCAUCUUAAACAUUUAUUAUCUAUAUAAUUAAUGUAAUAAAGACAAAAAAUGAUCAUUUUUGUUCAUUCAACAAUGCUACCAUCAACGCAACUUUGGGUGAAGAGGUUAAUUUGUGCGCGCAAUUAUAAAGACUAAAUUCUUAAAUUAAGUAGGACCGGUCAUAAUAGGUGGUAAAAUUCUCCCACGAGAGUUUUAUAACGGGUUGAAUUCUUAGAAAUGAAUUCAAAAUAUUGUCUCUUUAAAUAAGAAAAAGGAAAACCAAGUCUAUUAUAUUAUUAUCAAUUUCUUGUGAAUUUCUUGAUCA
Trifolium pratense (red clover) is the source of this 891-nucleotide long non-coding RNA. RefSeq lists it as uncharacterized. The record is from RefSeq and is a predicted model, not a curated record. Lineage: Eukaryota; Viridiplantae; Streptophyta; Magnoliopsida; Fabales; Fabaceae. The transcript has 2 exons.